Long non-coding RNA from Pezoporus flaviventris, 1545 nucleotides. RefSeq lists it as uncharacterized. The record is from RefSeq and is a predicted model, not a curated record. NCBI's taxonomy places the organism in Eukaryota, Metazoa, Chordata, Aves, Psittaciformes, Psittacidae. The transcript is spliced from 4 exons.
AUGGAAAAUGAAUAAAGCUUUGGUUCCACUCUGGUUUUGACACUUGUGCCAGAAAAUAUCUGAAGAUGAACAUUUUUGUGUUCACAAUGGUUAGAUUAAUAUUUAAUUUGCUGGCAUCCAACAAGCUGAUUAGUUUUCCUCUGAUAUGGCUCAACUUUUUAAUUACAGGAACUGGCUCCUCCUGGUUUGUGCCUGUGGUAAGAAGCUCAGGGACCAUCCUGACAUCAGUGUGACUGUGAUUUUGCCAGGCUCACACACUGCAAGGCUGUCAUCACCUGAAGCCUCUGCUCCUGGAAACAGAAUUCUCUAUUUGAGAUGAAUAAUACAUUGAAUAUGGUAUGUGGGCUCUGUAGACUUGGAAAAUACAACAUGAGCAAAUACAUUGCUCUGGCAAGGUGGUGUAACAGCGCUACUGAGGAUUUAGAAGCACCUCCUCUACCACAGAGCACCGUACGUGUGUGACAAGAGGCCUCAGGCCAGGGGAAGGAGCAGUUUACUUGUUUACUGGUACCUGUCUUGCUCUGCAGCCUUGUCCAGCAGCAUCCCCCCUAGAUGGAGCUCUGCAAAAACAUUUGAAGGCAGGAAAGCAGAAGCCUCCUGUUGCCCUGCAGCCCUGCACCGGUCAUCAGAGCAGUGCUGGGUUUGGCCUCUGUGAUGGGGUGGAUGGAGCUGAUGCCGUGGUCAGGAGCUCUGCUGGCCCCUUGCCGUCCCCCUGGGCCCUGUGCAGACCGCUCAGCCUGGAUCGUUAGUGAACGGAUGGUUGAUCACUAGAUGGAAACUGAGCUUGGAUGCAAAAUCUGGCAUUCCACAGGCUCCUGACCAGAGGGGACAGCUCUGCUUGUCAACUCUGACCUCCUGCCAAAGCUCUGCCAGAGCAGGGCAAGCAGCUGCCCAGGAGGAUCUGCAGCAGGAAGAGGAGGAAGAGGAGUGGGUGGUCCUCUGAGUGCACCCUAGAUAUUCAAAAGCCCUAUAGAUGCAAUGAGCAAUGCGAUGGGGAUGUCCCACCUGAUGAUCCUUUUGCUAUCAGCCAGCAGAUCUUAGACUGUAAGUAGGAAAAAAGUGUAAAUGAUUGGAAAAAAAAUCUGCCUGUGUCACUGCAUGAAAGGGAGAUGAAGAGAGAUGAAGACAGCGUCAGCGCAGCUGAUAAGGCAGGGGAAGAAUGCAGGAGAGAAGCUGAGUAAAGCAAGAGGGAUGGGGCCCCGGCGCCGAGGCAGCACAUGUUCAUGCAGCAGAGGAAAGUACACGUGGCAACUACGUGGUCAUUGCUGGCUGCACAGGCAGACAUUGCAGAAGGCUGGGCAGUUUUGCAGGCAGGUUGGCAGUGAUGUGUACAGGGUGGAGGCUGAGGGCAGAGCUGGAAGCUGGGAGCGAUGCUGUGGGAAAGGUGGCUGCCUGAGGAGUUUGCCAGGGCUCUCCAGUGCUGGACCCCCCUGGCAAUGAGGAGCAGUGGGAGGACAGAGACCACUGCAGGGAAGUGCUCUGUGGUGCAGGAGGAGCAGCUCAGCUCUUCUGAUGCCCAGCUUGGAGGGAAAUCAAACCAGUUAC